AGCUCCAAUAGCGUAUAUUAAAGUUGUUGCGGUUAAAAAGCUCGUAGUUGGAUUUCUGCCGAGGGCGACCGGUCUCCUCACUUCGAGGUUGUACAUGGUUUGACCGAGGCUUUUUCUUGGAUUUCGGUUGUAGCCUUAACUGUCUGCUCCGAUCUACAAGACUUUUACUUUGAGGAAAUUAGAGUGUUUCAAGCAGGCUUAUGCCGUGAAUAUAUUAGCAUGGAAUAAAAAGAUAUGACUUUGGUUGUAUUUUGUUGGUUUCUAAAACUGAAGUAAUGAUAAAUAGGGACAGUCGGGGGCAUUCGUAUUUAACUGUCAGAGGUGGAAUUCUUGGAUUAGUUAAAGACGAACUACUGCGAAAGCAUUUGCCAAGGAUGUUUUCAUUG
This 386-nucleotide ribosomal RNA is filed under the name Perkinsus sp. RNAcentral's name for it is "partial small subunit ribosomal RNA". It matches the Rfam family "Eukaryotic small subunit ribosomal RNA", at positions 587 to 975 of the family's 1831-position model. Lineage: Eukaryota; Perkinsozoa; Perkinsida; Perkinsidae. The record is from RNAcentral.